AUUGAACGCUGGCGGCAUGCCUUACACAUGCAAGUCGAACGGUAACAGGUCUUCGGAUGCUGACAAGUGGCGAACGGGUGAGUAAUACAUCGGAACGUGCCUAGUAGUGGGGGAUAACUACUCGAAAGAGUGGCUAAUACCGCAUGAGAUCUACGGAUGAAAGCAGGGGAUCGCAAGACCUUGUGCUACUAGAGCGGCCGAUGGCAGAUUAGGUAGUUGGUGGGAUAAAAGCUUACCAAGCCGACGAUCUGUAGCUGGUCGGAGAGGACGAUCAGCCACACUGGAACGGGGACACGGCCCAGACUCCUACGGGAGGCAGCAGUGGGGAAUUUUGGACGAUGGGCGAAAGCCUGAUCCAGCAAUGCCGCGUGCAGGAUGAAGGCCUUCGGGUUGUAAACUGCUUUUGUACGGAACGAAAAGCCCCGGGUUAAUACCCUGGGGUCAUGACGGUACCGAAAGAAUAAGCACCGGCUAACUACGUGCCAGCCGCCGCAGUAA
RNAcentral lists this ribosomal RNA (498 nucleotides) under uncultured bacterium. RNAcentral's name for it is "partial 16S ribosomal RNA". It matches the Rfam family "Bacterial small subunit ribosomal RNA", at positions 30 to 523 of the family's 1533-position model. The record is from RNAcentral.